Pseudomonas sp. is the source of this 175-nucleotide non-coding RNA. The record is from Rfam. NCBI's taxonomy places the organism in Bacteria, Pseudomonadati, Pseudomonadota, Gammaproteobacteria, Pseudomonadales, Pseudomonadaceae.
UAGCAAGGGCUUGAGUAUUUGCCCCGCUGUGGUAGUGUCGGGGCUUGCGUCGAUGACGCCAAAGCAUUCGAAAACCCCGCCUUUGGGCGUAAUGCUGGUCACUUAGGGCUGCUCUGCAGCCCAAACACUCUCAAGUGAACAGCACUACGCGCAUAGGGCGGGGUUUUGCUUUAUC